AAAUUAAACUGAUCAGAGCACAACUUUAAAGCAGCACCUUUGUGAUAUUUUUAACUUUAGUACUCCUCUCCUCCUUCAUUUCUCCUUCAACUGAAUCCACACCAACCUCUUCAUAUCCUUCUCAAGGGCAGCCAUGUCCUCAGAGGCUUCAGAAAACUCUUCUUCAUCCAUGCCCUAACCCACAUACCAGUGAACAAAGGCAUGCUUAGCAUACAUCAGGACAUCAGGUCCAGGUGAGCCCAGGCCUCAGCAAUGGCUGUGGUGUUGCUCAGCAUGGCUGUACUUUGGCCAGGUCUCCACCAGAUACCACAAUGGGAGGCUGAUAAUUAAUGCCAACUUUGAAGCCAGUGGGGCCCCAGUCCAUAAACUGAAUGGUACCCUUGGUCUUGAUGGUGGAAAUGGCAGCACUGACAUAUUUGGGAACCAUGUUGCCACAGUACAACAUGCAGCAAGCCAUGUAUUUUUUUUUUAUUUCUUUUUAAUGUUUAUUUUAUUUUUUUAUUUUUUUAUGUUUAUUUAUUUCUGAGACAGAGACAGAGCAUGAGCAGGGGAGGGACAGAGAGAGACGGAGACACAGAAUCCAAAGCGGGCUCCAGGCUCUGAGCUGUCAGCACAGAGCCAGACGCGGGGCUCGAACUCACAAACCGUGAGAUCAUGACCUGAGCUGAAGUCGGUCGCUCAACCAACUGAGCCACCCAGGCGCCCCUUUAAUGUUUAUUUUUGAGAGAGAGAGAGAGAGAGGACGAGUGGGGGAGGGCAGAGAGGGAGACAAAGAAUCUAAAGUAGCCUCCAGGCUCUGAGCUGUCUGCACAGUGACUGGCGCGGGGCUCAAACCCCCAAACCGUGAGAUCAUGGCCUGAGCUGAAGUUGGACACUUAAACUGAGCCACACAGGUGCACAGCAAGCCAUGUAUUUACCAUGGUGAGAAUCAUAUUUCACCAUCUGGUUGGCUGGCUCAAAGCAUGCAUUAAUGAUCUCUGCUACAGAAAGCUGCUCAUGGUAGCCUUUCUCAGCAGAGAUAACAGGAGCAUAUGUGGCCAGAGAGAAGUGGAUGUGGGGAUAAGGCACCAGGAUAGUCUGGAAUUCUGUCAGAUCAACAUUCAGGGCUCCAUCGAAUCUGAGGGAAGCAGUGAUGGAGAACACAAUUUGACCUAUCAACCUAUUUAGUUUAGUGUUGGCUGGGCAUUCAAUAUUGAGGUUUCCACGACAGAUAGCACAGAUGGCCUCAUUGUCUACCAUG
Molecule: long non-coding RNA, 1240 nt
Filed under: Lynx pardinus (Iberian lynx)
Lineage: Eukaryota; Metazoa; Chordata; Mammalia; Carnivora; Felidae
Source: RNAcentral